CGGACUUAAAAUCCGUCGACUUUAUAAGUUGUGAGGGUUCAAGUCCCUCUAUCCCCA
RNAcentral lists this transfer RNA (57 nucleotides) under Agropyron cristatum. RNAcentral describes it as "partial tRNA-Leu". It matches the Rfam family "tRNA", at positions 27 to 71 of the family's 71-position model. From Rfam's summary of the family: Transfer RNA (tRNA) molecules are approximately 80 nucleotides in length. Their secondary structure includes four short double-helical elements and three loops (D, anti-codon, and T loops). RNAcentral also lists the same sequence under 1 other name. The record is from RNAcentral. Lineage: Eukaryota; Viridiplantae; Streptophyta; Magnoliopsida; Poales; Poaceae.